AUGUUGUCCUUGCUGCCGCGUGCCAUGGCGAGCUCCACCAGCAGCGCCGCGGCGUCGGCCGCCGUGCUCCCGGAGACGGACUCGGGGUACUUGGAGGCCGCACGCCCACUUAGGCAAUUUCUCGCGAUCUUGCAGGCGAUAUCAUUGGACACCACAUCCCACAGGCCGUCGCUUGCCAGUAUGAGGAACUCGUCUUUGUCCGUCCGGUCCAUGACGGUGACUUCUGGUUCCGCUAUCACAUAUGGCUUCAGGUAA
This 255-nucleotide ribosomal RNA is filed under the name Triticum aestivum (bread wheat). RNAcentral describes it as "partial small subunit ribosomal RNA". Lineage: Eukaryota; Viridiplantae; Streptophyta; Magnoliopsida; Poales; Poaceae. The record is from RNAcentral.